AAUGUCCUCCAGAUUUCUCCAAUGGACGAACUCCAGAUUUCUACAAUAAUGAGCUCCUCCAUUCAUCUACCGGACUGCUCCAAAUUCUCUCUGGGUUUCACUACCAGUCGAUUUUCUAUAGUGAUCGACUACUCUCUGAAUCUCUUCUGGACUUCUUCCAGCCAUGAUCGACUUUACUCCAAACUUCUUUUGGACUUCGUCAA
RNAcentral lists this long non-coding RNA (203 nucleotides) under Elaeis guineensis (African oil palm). Its description in RNAcentral is "long non-coding RNA (EGUI_LNC064302)". The record is from RNAcentral. Lineage: Eukaryota; Viridiplantae; Streptophyta; Magnoliopsida; Arecales; Arecaceae.